UGCUCUAGUUUUUAGUGUCAUGCCUCUCU
RNAcentral lists this non-coding RNA (29 nucleotides) under Rattus norvegicus (Norway rat). Lineage: Eukaryota; Metazoa; Chordata; Mammalia; Rodentia; Muridae. The record is from RNAcentral.